GGGCGGAUGGCAGAGCGGUCUAUUGCACCAGACUGUAAAUCUGGCGGGCUACGCCCUUCGGGGGUUCGAAUCCCUCUCCGCCCA
This 84-nucleotide transfer RNA is filed under the name Zavarzinella sp. Its description in RNAcentral is "tRNA-Tyr". It matches the Rfam family "tRNA". From Rfam's summary of the family: Transfer RNA (tRNA) molecules are approximately 80 nucleotides in length. Their secondary structure includes four short double-helical elements and three loops (D, anti-codon, and T loops). The record is from RNAcentral. Lineage: Bacteria; Pseudomonadati; Planctomycetota; Planctomycetia; Gemmatales; Gemmataceae.